RNAcentral lists this ribosomal RNA (433 nucleotides) under uncultured bacterium. RNAcentral describes it as "partial 16S ribosomal RNA". It matches the Rfam family "Bacterial small subunit ribosomal RNA", at positions 29 to 507 of the family's 1533-position model. The record is from RNAcentral.
AACGAACGCUGGCGGCAUGCCUAACACAUGCAAGUCGAACGAGACCUUCGGGUCUAGUGGUGCACGGGUGCGUAACGCGUGGGAACCUGCCCUUAGGUUCGGAAUAACUCCCCGAAAGGGGUGCUAAUACCGGAUAAUGUCUUCGGACCGAAGAUUUAGCGCCUUUGGAUGGGCCCGCGUUGGAUUAGCUAGUUGGUAGGGUAAAAGCCUACCACGGCGACGAUCCAUAACUGGGUUGAGAGGAUGGUCCGCCACACUGGUACUGAGCCACGGCCCAGACUCCUACGGGAGGGAGCAAUGGGGGAUAUUGGAAAAUGGGGUGAAGGCUGAUGCACCAAUGCCGCGUGAGUGAUGAAGGCCUUAAGGUUGUAAAGCUCUUUUACCCCGGAUGAUAAUGACAGUACCGGGAGAAUAAGCUCCGGCUAACUCCGUG